This 628-nucleotide long non-coding RNA is filed under the name Homo sapiens (human). Its description in RNAcentral is "HSALNT0001732". The record is from RNAcentral. Lineage: Eukaryota; Metazoa; Chordata; Mammalia; Primates; Hominidae.
CAACCAACUAGCCAUCUUCUUUUAGAUUUUUUUCAGGGAAAGAGACCACCUAGAAUCCUGAAAGAAUGGUCCGUAGAUGGACAGACUCACUCUGUGAAGCAGGUGGAUCUCAGUGGAACGAGGGGUGGCCGCUUCUCUCACCUUCCUCAGAAGUCCCCAGACUGAAGUGAGCUUUAUUUACAUUUCAGAAGAAACACCAGACUCUGGGUCUAGAUAUCAUCUCUUCCCAGUUUCCCAGGAGCGUAGCCUGGGGUCCUCCUGUCUGGCAGCCUCUGCGCCCUGGCUGUGUGGCUGAGCCUGCUGUUUGCCAGUUUCCUCCUGGUUUCCAGCACACAUCGUCGUUGCUACUUUUGAUUACAUUCCCAGUCUCUUUUCAAGUUUAUUUCCCUUAGGUCUUCUGACUUGCUUGGAGCCAGGAGGGAGCAGAAGUGGCUUGAACCUCUGGGGAAGGCUGGUGAGUUGGGGGAUGAUGGAGGAGGUGGGGGAGAGGGGCCAUUCCCACUUCCCACUUUGGGAGGAGGCACUCCAGUACCUUCCUGAUGUCCUGUCCAAUAUUCAUAUUCUGGAGCGGGGGGCGCUGAGCGCUGAGCUAAGCCAUUGUCUCAGAUGUUCAUGCUCCAACUCCUGC